This 88-nucleotide transfer RNA is filed under the name Candidatus Pelagibacter sp. TMED166. Its description in RNAcentral is "tRNA-Ser". It matches the Rfam family "tRNA". Rfam says of the family: Transfer RNA (tRNA) molecules are approximately 80 nucleotides in length. Their secondary structure includes four short double-helical elements and three loops (D, anti-codon, and T loops). The record is from RNAcentral. Lineage: Bacteria; Pseudomonadati; Pseudomonadota; Alphaproteobacteria; Candidatus Pelagibacterales; Candidatus Pelagibacteraceae.
GGAGAGGUGUCCGAGUGGCUUAAGGUGCACGCCUGGAACGCGUGUAUGGAUUAAUAGUCCAUCGCGGGUUCGAAUCCCGCCCUCUCCG